Mauremys mutica (yellowpond turtle) is the source of this 373-nucleotide long non-coding RNA. RefSeq lists it as uncharacterized. Lineage: Eukaryota; Metazoa; Chordata; Testudines; Geoemydidae. The record is from RefSeq and is a predicted model, not a curated record. The transcript is spliced from 3 exons.
CUUCACGCCCAGGUGGAUGCGCAGGUGCUGGGCCAAGUAGGAGGCGUUGGCGAAGGAUUUGGAGCAGUGCGGGCACUUGUGGGGUUUGGCCUCUGUGUGCGACUUGGAGUGGAUCUGCAUCUCCGACUUGGUGAAGAAGAACCAAGUUGUCCAGCUGGGACGAGGAAAGCAAGACGCACACGUCACUGCCAGAGGCACGGGAGCACAGCAGGUACCGGCCCCACGGGGAAGCUGCCAGCCCUGGCGCAGCGCAGGUUCAUAACACACCACCCACUGCCUGUCUGCCCUGAACGAAUUCUCUCUCUCCCCCUCUCAGUCGUAAGUUCCUCCCUGCAAGGAGGCAGCCAUGGGAGUGACCUGAUACCCGCAUGGA